UGAGCACUGUGAUGACCGGUGGUUGGAUGGGCCUUGCGCCUAAGAAGCAUCAUGUCAUGAAGUGCCACGUUGAGUUUGCUAGGAGGAUUUGGAUUGGAUUGAAUCUGACGCGAAUAGAUUGCUAUGAUUUGUCAACAGUUGCGACCCCAGUUUAGGCGGGACUACCCGCUGAGUUUAAGCAUAUCAAUAAGCGGAGGAAAUCA
RNAcentral lists this ribosomal RNA (203 nucleotides) under Limonium delicatulum. RNAcentral's name for it is "partial 26S ribosomal RNA". The stretch from base 142 to 203 matches the Rfam family "Eukaryotic large subunit ribosomal RNA", at positions 1 to 62 of the family's 3401-position model. The record is from RNAcentral. Lineage: Eukaryota; Viridiplantae; Streptophyta; Magnoliopsida; Caryophyllales; Plumbaginaceae.